Molecule: ribosomal RNA, 369 nt
Filed under: uncultured bacterium
Lineage: Bacteria
Description: bacterial SSU rRNA
Rfam family: Bacterial small subunit ribosomal RNA
Source: RNAcentral
ACGUAGGUGGCAAGCGUUGUCCGGAUUUAUUGGGUUUAAAGGGUGCGUAGGUUGUUCCAUAAGUCAGUGGUGAAAUACGGCAGCUCAACUGUCGAGGUGCCAUUGAUACUGCGGAACUUGAGUACAGACGAGGUAGGCGGAAUUGACGGUGUAGCGGUGAAAUGCUUAGAUAUCGUCAAGAACACCGAUAGCGAAGGCAGCUUACUAGACUGUAACUGACACUGAGGCACGAAAGUGUGGGGAUCAAACAGGAUUAGAUACCCUGGUAGUCCACACUGUAAACGAUGAUUACUCGAUGUUGGCGAUACACAGCCAGCGUCUUAGCGAAAGCGAUAAGUAAUCCACCUGGGGAGUACGCCCGCAAGGGUG